Molecule: non-coding RNA, 507 nt
Organism: Camelina sativa (false flax)
Lineage: Eukaryota; Viridiplantae; Streptophyta; Magnoliopsida; Brassicales; Brassicaceae
Source: RefSeq, a predicted model, not a curated record
CAUGUAUGUUGUCUGCAGAUGAGUUCCAAACAUCCAGAGCUCCCAACACUCGAAGACCAGUAAUAGAGAAUCUAUAUGAUGUGUUUUUGAAUAUAAGAGACGAUGAAGCAGAACACUGCAAGACAAUGAAAGCAUGUCAGACACUGGGGAGCCUACGUUCUCCACACUCCAUAAUAGAAGAUGAUGCUGAAGAAGAAUCAGGCUGUGUUGUUCCUGAGGGGGCUCAUUGCGAAGGUAUCGUAGACUGCAUCAAGAAAUCCAUUACGAGUUAAAUUACUAAAAUAGAAAGGAAACUAAAAAAAAAAGAUUGUUUUGUAUCAGCUUAUUAUGAAGAAUUAGGUGUAAUUCCCAUAGACUUGGGAAUAAAGGAAAAAGUGUGAGAUUCCCAUCGUUAUGUGUGGGAGAGAAUCAAAUACCCAUAUUAUGUAAAUUUGCCAUGAUGAGUUUUAUAUUAUUAUCCAAGUCGUUGGAGACAAAUUGUGGUUGCAUAGUCGGUCUCCAUUUAUA